Molecule: long non-coding RNA, 647 nt
Organism: Neopsephotus bourkii (Bourke's parrot)
Lineage: Eukaryota; Metazoa; Chordata; Aves; Psittaciformes; Psittacidae
Exons: 4
Source: RefSeq, a predicted model, not a curated record
GUUGGCCCUGGUAUGCCAUCUGCGCCUCUAACUCCUUUGCUUCCUUUCAUGCUGAGAGUAGAAAGACCAGGAGGCCCUGGAAAACCAGGAGCACCUGUACAGAAACAUCAGAGUAUGCUAACAUCUCACCACCCUGCCAAAACAAAACAUACCUGAGAUUCCUGCACCUCCAGUUUCCCCUCUGGUCCCAGGUGGUCCUGGUAUUCCUUUAUGUCCUGGAUGACCUUGGGAUCCUUUUUCCCCUUUGCUGCCCAAAACUCCUGGGGGGCCUGGAUUUCCCUGAGAAAAAGGAAUUGCACACAAACAGAGACUGAAUUUCUAUGUCAAAACAAGUACUUGGGAAAUCCUUACCUGGCACACCAGAGAUUCCUGGCCUUCCAGACUGUCCCUUGGGGCCAGGUUUCCAGCUCGGCCUGUAUCUCCAAUCUUUCCUUCAAAACCUGGUGACCCUUUGCCUCCUGCAAGUCCUUUAUCUCCUGCAAAAGGAAUUAAAUGGCAGUACAGAUGCUGUAGUUAUCACUUUAUUUUACAAAUGGAUAUUUGUAUGGAUGCAGUUACAAGCCUCUUACACUAAAGUAGCUGACAUGAGCUGAGGACAGCAUCCUGAUUUCAGAGUUGAUAUGACACACUGCAUCUUGUUCCUUACA